Molecule: long non-coding RNA, 229 nt
Organism: Arabidopsis thaliana (thale cress)
Lineage: Eukaryota; Viridiplantae; Streptophyta; Magnoliopsida; Brassicales; Brassicaceae
Product: other RNA
Exons: 2
Source: RefSeq
CCGCCAUUCUCUGUCCGGAGAAAGAUGGUUCGUUUCAGGUUAAGCUCUGAUGAUUCUCUAUCAAUCUAUAAUGCUUCUUCAAAGACAUAAAAAUUCUGAUCAAUUCAUCUGUAUACUAACCAAACUUGUUGUCUCUAUGGGUAUGUCACAUCUACCGGAUGAGGAUUAUGGCAAACACUGAAGAAAACAACUCAGUGACAUCUACCUGGAUCUUGUGGAUGCCCUCUUC